RNAcentral lists this ribosomal RNA (964 nucleotides) under uncultured bacterium. RNAcentral describes it as "bacterial SSU rRNA". It matches the Rfam family "Bacterial small subunit ribosomal RNA", at positions 61 to 1064 of the family's 1533-position model. The record is from RNAcentral.
GUCGAACGAACCCUUCGGGGUUAGUGGCGGACGGGUGAGUAACACGUUAGUACCUGCCCUCUAGUGGGGGAUAACUGCCCGAAAGGGUAGCUAAUACCGCAUGUGAUCACUUGUGAUCAAAGCAGAAAUGCGCUAGAGGAGGGGCUUGCGUCUGAUUAGCUUGUUGGCGGGGUAAUGGCCCACCAAGGCGAUGAUCAGUAGCUGGUUCGAGAGGAUGACCAGCCACACUGGGACUGAGAUACGGCCCAGACUCCUACGGGAGGCAGCAGUGAGGAAUCUUCCGCAAUGGACGAAAGUCUGACGGAGCAACGCCGCGUGCAGGAUGACGGCCUUCGGGUUGUAAACUGCUUUUAUUUGGGAAGAUUAUGACGGUACCAAAUGAAUAAGGACCGGCUAACUACGUGCCAGCAGCCGCGGUAAUACGUAGGGUCCAAGCGUUAUCCGGAAUUACUGGGCGUAAAGAGUGCGUAGGCGGGUGUCUAAGUGCAAUGCGAAAUCCUAUGGCUCAACCAUGUGGACUGUAUUGCAUACUGGAUACCUAGAGGAAUGCAGAGGCAAGUGGAAUUACCGGUGUAGCAGUGAAAUGCGUAGAUAUCGGUAGGAACACCAAUGGCGAAGGCAGCUUGCUGGGCAUUAUCUGACGCUAAGGCACGAAAGCGUGGGGAGCGAACAGGAUUAGAUACCCUGGUAGUCCACGCCGUAAACGAUGCACACUAUUAGUAUGGAGUAUCGACCCUCUGUGCUGAGAAGCUAACGCGUUAAGUGUGCCGCCUGGGGAGUACGAUCGCAAGAUUAAAACUCAAAGGAAUUGACGGGGCUCCGCACAAGCAGUGGAUCAUGCGGUUUAAUUCGAUGAUACGCGAAGACCUUACCAAGGCUUGACAUCCCUAUCGUACCCCUAGGAAACUAGGGGUCAGUUCGGCUGGAUAGGUGACAGAUGCUGCAUGGCCGUCGUCAGCUCGUG